UGCAGAAUCCCGUGAACCAUCGAGUCUUUGAACGCAAGUUGCGCCCGAGGCCACUAGGCUGAGGGCACGCCUGCCUGGGCGUCACGCCCCACGUUGCUCCACGCCCCCACUCGGGAACGCGCAGGAUGCAGAGAUUGGCCUCCCGUGCCCCACGCGCGGCGGGCUGAAGAGUUGGCGCGUGUUGUCGGACAAGUCACGAUGAGUGGUGGACAUCAGCCGCACCUCGUGUGCGGGAGGAAGUCAGCACGUCGUGCCACUUGCCCGUCCCGGAGCCAUGAGAACCCUACGUGGGCGUACGCCCCUCGAUCUCAAUCGUGACCCCAGGUCAGGCGGGGCCACCCGCUGAGUUUAAGCAUAUCAAUAAGCGGAGGAGAAGAAACUUACAAGGAUUCCCUUAGUAACGGCGAGCGAACCGGGAUCAGCCCAGCUUUGAGAAUCGGAAGGCCACGCCCUCCGA
This 457-nucleotide ribosomal RNA is filed under the name Tofieldia pusilla. RNAcentral's name for it is "eukaryotic LSU rRNA". The stretch from base 316 to 457 matches the Rfam family "Eukaryotic large subunit ribosomal RNA", at positions 1 to 141 of the family's 3401-position model. Lineage: Eukaryota; Viridiplantae; Streptophyta; Magnoliopsida; Alismatales; Tofieldiaceae. The record is from RNAcentral.